AACAUCAGGAGCAACAUGUGGGACAUGUGGACGUGUGUCAGUACGACAUUCAUAAGUCAUGAUUGUUAAUAUAACAUCCAUAACAAGGAGAGAGAGGAGGACGUCACUACCUGGUGGUGCAGGUGGUGUAAUGUUUCCCUCCCCCGGUGGGCCUCCUUUGGUUUAGUGGAAUAUGAUAUGAAACACAGACACAAGAAAAGGAGGUGAAAUAAAUCAGUGUUUACUACCUGAGGAGACUGAAUGAGGAAUAAAAUGAUGUCGUCUUAAAACAAACGUACCUGUUUGUUCACAUGAGAACUGACUGCAGGCUUCAAACAGCAGAGUUUUUCCGCUCUGAUUGUCUCUCACUUCACAUCUCAGUGACUUAUAAUACUUUGACUUCUGAUGAAGAGGAGCUUUAAACGUCACAGUGGCUUCACAAGCAGCGUGUGACAUCAUCACAUCAGUCUGUUUGCCGUCAUAAAGCCACUCUACUGUGUGUUCACACUCAGAGAAUCUCAACACAAAGCAGGAAAACACAACCAGACCCCCGUAGUCCUUUUCCUCCACUGGUGAAGAUGUUCACAAUGUGAGAAAGACAACAAGAGUAACAUUAACUUCUUCAUAAUUUAAAUGAUAAUAAUGUUUCAGUGUGUGGAAAGUUUGAGCUGAAAUGAUUUAAUGUAAAUACUCACUUGUAAACAUGGACAGAGAGACCACACCAUCUGGACCUUGUUGUUUUCCUGCUUCAUUAAAAUCUCUGUUGGUGUAACGACCAACAUCUUCACCUGAGACGCUUCUUAUAACCAGAGAACAGUUUGCUGUCAAACUCAGUUUGUUGCUUUUAGCUUCUGGAAUCAAAGCGUUAUUAUUAAUCUUCCCAAGUGUAACCAGCUCCACAGAUGAAUCAGUACGAUUGUAAAGCCAAGUAGAACCGUCACAUCUGUCCUGAUCCACAUGGUUAGAAGGCAAAGUGACGUCAUCUCCGGCUCUGACGAGGAAGCGGGGGUCAGGGGGGGUUUGUCCUCUUACUAUUGACACAUAUGAAAGAACUGAGGUAAGAAUACAGAUGUUUAGACUCCAGUCACACGUGAUGAAGACAUCGAUUACAAACAGCAUCAAACGUCCUUUCACUAGAGUCCAGUGGACACUGGACAUGAAGGUGGCCGGUUGGACUCUCCUCACGUUGGUGGAACAGUUGCUGUGUGUUUGCUGUUCUUACCUGCAGCCUGAAGCAGCAGCAGCAUCACACAUAAAGUCCUUUGAGUCCCUCUGAGUUCCACCAUGGUGUCUCUGCUCCUCAAGGCGUCUGACCGAGUGCUUCUUCCUCACAGAUGCAGCUUCUGCUUCCUCUGGUUGCACAGCGUCACUUCCUCGUCGUGCUCAUAGAGACGACGUGUCGGAGCUCUGAGGAUGAGUUUCUU
Gasterosteus aculeatus aculeatus (three-spined stickleback) is the source of this 1403-nucleotide long non-coding RNA. The record is from Ensembl. NCBI's taxonomy places the organism in Eukaryota, Metazoa, Chordata, Actinopteri, Perciformes, Gasterosteidae.